Myotis brandtii (Brandt's bat) is the source of this 218-nucleotide long non-coding RNA. RefSeq lists it as uncharacterized. Lineage: Eukaryota; Metazoa; Chordata; Mammalia; Chiroptera; Vespertilionidae. The record is from RefSeq and is a predicted model, not a curated record. The transcript has 3 exons.
AACUCAACUAAAAAUAUAAUACUAGAUGUACUGGUUAAUAAUCCGGAUUUUUUUCAAUAGAUGGAGUUACACAUAUGUUGAUAUAUAUGUGAUUUGAUGUGUAUGCUAUUUUUGUUGUAUUGACAACAAGCUUCAAAACUUCAUGUGUCAAAUUUGCUGAAUGUGUUAACAUCAGAGAUAUAUUUACGCUUAAAAAUGUCAAAUUUCGUGCCAAAAAA